Molecule: ribosomal RNA, 491 nt
Filed under: uncultured bacterium
Lineage: Bacteria
Description: partial 16S ribosomal RNA
Rfam family: Bacterial small subunit ribosomal RNA
Source: RNAcentral
AGUGAACGCUGGCGGUAGGCCUAACACAUGCAAGUCGAACGGCAGCACAGUAAGAGCUUGCUCUUACGGGUGGCGAGUGGCGGACGGGUGAGGAAUACAUCGGAAUCUACUUUUCGUGGGGGAGAACGUAAGGAAAAUUACGCUAAUACCGCAUACGACCUAAGGGUGAAAGCAAGGGAACUUCGGACCUUGCGCGAUUGAAUGAGCCGAUGUCGGAUUAGCUAGUUGGCGGGGUAAAGGCCCACCAAGGCGACGAUCCGUAGCUGGUCUGAGAGGAUGAUCAGCCACACUGGAACUGAGACACGGUCCAGACUCCUACGGGAGGCAGCAGUGGGGAAUAUUGGACAAUGGGCGCAAGCCUGAUCCAGCCAUACCGCGUGGGUGAAGAAGGCCUUCGGGUUGUAAAGCCCUUUUGUUGGGAAAGAAAAGCAGCAGGUUAAUACCCCGCUGUUCUGACGGUACCCAAAGAAUAAGCACCGGCUAACUUCGUG